This 497-nucleotide ribosomal RNA is filed under the name uncultured bacterium. RNAcentral's name for it is "partial 16S ribosomal RNA". It matches the Rfam family "Bacterial small subunit ribosomal RNA", at positions 28 to 507 of the family's 1533-position model. The record is from RNAcentral.
GACGAACGCUGGCGGCGUGCCUAAUACAUGCAAGUUGAGCGAUGAAGCUUGGUGCUUGCACCAAUUUGAAGAGCAGCGAACGGGUGAGUAACGCGUGGGGAAUCUGCCUUUGAGCGGGGGACAACAUUUGGAAACGAAUGCUAAUACCGCAUAACAACUUUAAACAUAAGUUUUAAGUUUGAAAGAUGCAAUUGCAUCACUCAAAGAUGAUCCCGCGUUGUAUUAGCUAGUUGGUGAGGUAAAGGCUCACCAAGGCGAUGAUACAUAGCCGACCUGAGAGGGUGAUCGGCCACAUUGGGACUGAGACACGGCCCAAACUCCUACGGGAGGCAGCAGUAGGGAAUCUUCGGCAAUGGACGAAAGUCUGACCGAGCAACGCCGCGUGAGUGAAGAAGGUUUUCGGAUCGUAAAACUCUGUUGGUAGAGAAGAACGUUGGUGAGAGUGGAAAGCUCAUAAAGUGACGGUAACUACCCAGAAAGGGACGGCUAACUACGUG